Molecule: ribosomal RNA, 431 nt
Filed under: Caenopachys hartigii
Lineage: Eukaryota; Metazoa; Arthropoda; Insecta; Hymenoptera; Braconidae
Description: eukaryotic LSU rRNA
Source: RNAcentral
CCUGAGAAACCCAAAAGAUCGAAUGGGGAGAUUCAUCGUCAACGCAUUUUGUAUAUGUAUGAGUUGUGAUGCGGGUUACUCUUUUUGAGUAUUGCCUGUACAUUCUCGUAUGUUUAGUGGCAAGAUGUCGUCGGCGUGCACUUCUCCCCUUAGUAGGACGUCGUGACCCGUUGGGUGUUGGUUUACGGCUCAAGUGGUAGCCUUUAGUGUUUUAUUUAUUUAUAACAUUAAAGACCCUUGGUGUUUUCUAACCAACUACCCGGCGGUAUUCGUACGGUAUUUAGCCGCAUUUUUUAUGCGUCCAUGUCCGUCGCAAGCGCGGUUAGAUUUCGAUAGUACGGACUUUGUGCCGACGUUGUGUCUGACCAGCUGUUGGUUGACGGUGUUCUAGGACUGGCUAAAAUUAUUACCGGUCGGCGAUGCUACUGCUU